UUUCCGUAGGUGAACCUGCGGAAGGAUCAUUAUUGUAUAACCGAGGUGCGAGGGCUGUCGCUGACCCAAAGGUCGUGCACGCCCGAGUGCCCUCACACACAUCCAUCUCACCCCUAUUUGCACCACCGCGUGGGUCCCCCUUUGGCUUGUUCGGAGGGGGGCUUACGUUUUCACACAAACUUUGUAUGCAGUGUAGAAUGUAUUUUUUGUUUUUGCGAUCACGCAAUCAAUACAACUUUCAACAACGGAUCUCUUGGCUCUC
RNAcentral lists this unclassified non-coding RNA (262 nucleotides) under plant metagenome. Its description in RNAcentral is "partial contains small subunit ribosomal RNA, internal transcribed spacer 1, and 5.8S ribosomal RNA". The record is from RNAcentral.